CUCGUAGGCGGCCAACUAAGUCAGACGUGAAAUCUCUCGGCUUAACCGGGGAACUGCGUCUGAUACUGGAUGGCUUGAGUAUGGGAGAGGGAUGCGGAAUUCCAGGUGUAGCGGUGAAAUGCGUAGAUAUCUGGAGGAACACCGGUGGCGAAGGCGGCAUCCUGGACCAUCACUGACGCUGAGGAGCGAAAGCCAGGGGAGCAACG
RNAcentral lists this ribosomal RNA (206 nucleotides) under uncultured bacterium. Its description in RNAcentral is "partial 16S ribosomal RNA". It matches the Rfam family "Bacterial small subunit ribosomal RNA", at positions 568 to 773 of the family's 1533-position model. The record is from RNAcentral.